This is a long non-coding RNA of Gymnogyps californianus (California condor), 649 nucleotides long. RefSeq lists it as uncharacterized. The transcript has 3 exons. The record is from RefSeq and is a predicted model, not a curated record. NCBI's taxonomy places the organism in Eukaryota, Metazoa, Chordata, Aves, Accipitriformes, Cathartidae.
CUUAGGACUGGUUGUGACGGCGGUGCCGGGGCGGCGGGGAGCGGGUCCAUCUCUAACCCGACACAGCCCCGCACUGAAGCCGGCUUUCGGUAACGCCUCCAUCCCUCGUUAACGACACGAAGGCAGCGUCCCGGCGGGAAGGGAGCCGCGCUGACAGUAUUUACGGGCUUUAAUUAAAAAUAGCCCCGAGCCUGCCGCCGGUGAAGCCCUCGGCGGGCGCCGAGGUGAAUCCGCGCUGAAGUCACCCCGUUCCUGACACGGUUGUUCCCAGUUUUCCUCGUUUGCCCGUUUCGAUCCGCUCCACGGGGGUGCGGAGUCGCUGCAGCGAGGCGGCGGGGUGAGGAGGACCCAGAGGAAAAUUAUUUCCACGGCAGGCAAAGCUGCGAGGGGCGCUCGGGGGAAGCCUUCCCUCGCUCGUUAGCAGCCGCCUCCCGCGUGGGGCUGAGCGCGGGGAUCUCGGCAGACCGGAGUCUCCCCGGGGUUCUCCCAGCCUUGUUCCCGCCAUCUGCCGCUCAGCGUUUCCCUCCAGCAGAAUAAAACCAGGGUAGGCUGCCCGCUGGGCUGGCUGGCGUGGCAUUGCGCCUCAGUGAGAGCAGCUCAGAGCCCGGAGCAGAGGGGUCCCAGCGAGUUGUCGCCUUCUGUUUGAAAA